RNAcentral lists this transfer RNA (75 nucleotides) under Alosa alosa (allis shad). RNAcentral's name for it is "tRNA-OTHER". Lineage: Eukaryota; Metazoa; Chordata; Actinopteri; Clupeiformes; Clupeidae. The record is from RNAcentral.
GUGGUGGUAGUGCAGUGGUUAAGAAGCUGGGCUAGCAUGCCAAUAAAGUUGUGGGUUCGAUUCCCGGCUGCCACC